UACAGAGGUCUCAAGCGUUGUUCGGAUUCAUUGGGCGUAAAGGGUGUGUAGGUGGCGCGCUAAGUCGGGUGUGAAAUUUCGGAGCUUAACUCCGAAACUGCCUUCGAUACUGUUCGGCUUGAGUCCUGGAGAGGGUAGCGGAAUUCCCGGUGUAGCGGUGAAAUGCGUAGAGACCGGGAAGAACACCAGUGGCGAAGGCGGCUACCUGGACAGGUACUGACGCUGAAGCGCGAAAGCUAGGGGAGCAAACGGG
Molecule: ribosomal RNA, 253 nt
Filed under: uncultured bacterium
Lineage: Bacteria
Description: partial 16S ribosomal RNA
Rfam family: Bacterial small subunit ribosomal RNA
Source: RNAcentral